This 4403-nucleotide long non-coding RNA is filed under the name Lupinus angustifolius (narrow-leaved blue lupine). Its description in RNAcentral is "long non-coding RNA (LANG_LNC001125)". Lineage: Eukaryota; Viridiplantae; Streptophyta; Magnoliopsida; Fabales; Fabaceae. The record is from RNAcentral.
UCCUACUCCUAUCAGCUAGCCAAGCUACUUUGUCAGCUGCUGGCCAGCUGAGCCACCUUGCUCUUGCCCAGUCAAGUCUCAGCCAAUUGUAGGCUAUGCUGAGGUGCCACCUAGCCUCGGUGCCAUGCAUGUUGCCACCUCCUGCUUCAGCCGACCACCUUAUAUCAUGGGUUAUAUACAUUAGGCAUAGCCCCUUACUUGGUCACCAAGUCACGUUGAGCCCCCUUUUGCCACCGCCCAGUGGGUUGCUUCACAGAUGGGUUUGCUUUUUCUUCAAGUUGAAGCAAUCCUGGCUGAUGCAAAACUUCCUAGUGCCUCUAUAGACACGCCUAACGGGUUGCUAAGUAGUUUGGAUUCUUCAUGGAUCUUGUUUGCUUGAAUUUUGGCUAUCUUUGAAGUAAUUCUUUUUAAUACAUUUUCCUACAAAAUUCAGAGACAAUAUGGACAAGAGGUGAUGAAAAAUUAUAUUAGUAGAACACAAAAAAUUAUCUAAAAAAUAAGCUAUAAGUUGGGUUUUAAAAAUGAUUAAUCAAGAUAAGUGCCAUAAAAGCGAUGAAAAAUAGUAUAUUUUGGCACUUAUCAACUCCCCCGAACUUCAACUUUGUUUGUCCCCAAACAAAGGUAAAAUGACAACUAACUUGGCUUUAGAAAAAGUCAGCUUGUACAAGAUCAAAACUAUGCAUGAUUUUAAAGUUCUAUGAGAUGUAUUUAUGAUGAUCUGAUUUUGACUAAUAAUGCUUCAAACGAAGAAUGAACACAUCUUUUCAAAUAUUCAUUUAUUACUUUACUUAUAAAAAAUGUUAUCAAACAAAGAGAUGCAUUUUCUCACACGGUUCCAGAAUGGAACCAAAUGGGUAAGUGUUUCACUUUAAAAUAACUUCAUUGGUUUCAAGAAUUCAAUUUUGUUUUUCAUCUCAACAAUUACUUUUAUUGUACAAAUUUUUAAGGAUCACUAAGGUUUUCCUGGGGUUGUAAUGAGGCCUGAAUAUCAAAGAAAAUUAGUUUUUUAAGAUAAUCAAAAUAUACUUUUCAAUUUAAAAGAGAGCAAAAAUGAUUUUCAAGAUAUUCAACAACUUUUUCACCAUACUUCUUUUUCUUCCUUUCCUCAUUCUUUUCAUUGGUUAUUUUAGUGUAACCUUUCUUGAUAUUUCUCAAUCUCUUUUUACUCCUUUUUUUGUUUUGGAUCUUUUCUUUACUUUUUGAGUUGUAAAGAUAUUCAGAAUAUUUUAUUCUGAGCUUUUUGUCACACGGCUAACCACUCCCCCAACUUAAUUUUUUCGAUCUACCUACUUUUGAAAAAUGCUCUCCUUUUACCAAAGAAAACUAUUGGAGAUUUCAUUUUGUUUGUACAUAUUUGGCUCAAGGGUUGUGUUUGGAAAAUUUAAUUCUUUUACAGAAUCACAGGGUUAUCAAAGGAUGUUCCUAAUUUUGGUUGGUCAAUUUUUGUCAAAUGGCUCAUUCUAUUUGAAAGAACUUGCCUUGACCUUUUCCAAUCAAUUUUGUAUGUAAUCAUGCAAAGGAAGAUUCAAACAAAAUCAAUUGUUCAAGCCAACAAGUUUCACACACUAAGCUCACAUGAUUAUGUGUUGGACUUACACUCCCUCACAUGGUUGGUUUAUUUACAACUCUUUAAUUUUCAAACAUGUUCCCGAGUUCAUGAGAAAUGAUUUUCCAAAAAAAAUUGCAUUUUAUCAAAGUUAUGACAUUAUGCAAUUUUCACAAUUUUAUUUUUAUAUUUUCAUCUCAUAUUUCUUACAAAAGCUUCUUGAUUCACAAAGUUAGUCAUUCGGUUUUAAAAAAUUGUUUUAAGCCAUGUUUUUAUUAUUUACUAAAUUUAGUUUCAAAAAUUUCUCUUUUUAAAUAAAAAGAAACAAAGUAAUCUAAACUAAUAAGCAAUUAAAACACACAACUUAAAAAAUUAAUCACGCACUAAUUGUUUUUAAGCAAAUAAACAAGCACUAAAGAUUUAAAAGGCACAAAAAAAAAUAUUCUUUGAAAAUGUUAUACACACUCCCCCCAACAUAAGUGCUUGACUUGUCCUCUUGUCAUUUUGAAACAUUUUAAGGAAGUUUGUGUAACAUUUUGAAAGAAUGGAAAAAAUAAAAAACUAACUAACACAACGUUUUUAGGAUAAUUCAUAAUUUCAUUCUCCUAUGAUUUUACUAUCCUCUCCAAGAUAAUGGUGCCUUUUUUAGCCUACUCUUUUUUGUCUGUUUGUUUUUGGACUUGUUUUCUUGUAAAUUAUUAGUUCUUGCAAUUUAUUUGUCCUUUGGGUUAAUCUAACAAUUUACAUGAAUUUCUCAAUGUCUAACACAUUAUGUUCAUGAAUGAAAUUUGGUUAACAGAAAUUCCAAUCGAACAACAUGCAUUUUUCAUGAAAAUGAUGUUUAGAAAAUUUUCUUCUUAACAUUUUUCAAGCUCAGUUGAUAAACGGAAAUCCAAACAUAAUUUUAUGCAAAUCUAAAAAACAAGAUAUUAAUAGAAAAAGCCACAUAUAACUUCAUUCAGAAUUUCAUGAAUUUACUUUGUUAAAUGGUAAACCAAACAACAACUUGGUAAACCAACUUUUUAGAAGUUGUCGAGCCUAGAAAAUUUAAUUUUUGGCACAAUUUUAAAAAGCGUGUUCUUUGUUUAAAAAUUUAUUUCAUAUAUUUAUAAACCAUUAACUAAAGCAUGUUUAUGGAGAUGGUGGUUAAAGUAUCACAAAAUAAUAUACGAUCAUUAAAAGUUGAUGGUGAAUACUUAAUCUUUAAGGAUUUAAGGUAGCUUCCCUUUUUGGAUUAUUGAAGAUUCGACUUCGUCAUUCUUUUCAAAGUGCAUCCCGUUUAUCCUUGUGAAUUUUAAUCCCUUUUAUGUUGUUAUUUUGAAAAGGUUGAUGAGGGGUACCUUCUAAAUCACCUAAAUAUUUUAUAACAACCAUAAAGGUUUCUUAACUAUUGGAUUUUUAAUCUACCUGUUCCAACUUAAACUUUCUUUUUGGGUUUUUAAUGUUUAGAUGUACCAAACAGAAAAAUAAAAUAAAAGAUGUAAAAAACUGAAAAUUAAAUUUCUAAAACAAUGAAAGAAAAUUGUAUUUGUAAUUACUACUUAUAUAUGAUAUAAGUAUGACAUUCUAUUAUCUAGCAAUUCUCUCGCAACAACGUCAUUUUGUUGAAAGAAAAAUAAUUAUGUUGAUUCAAGAGUUUGGUGUCUCUCAACAAAAAGUUUCCUUUUAUGGUGCCAAUUUGUAGAAGGAGUUGAUGUGUGAUCAUAAGAUUAGUUUAAUUGAUUUUAACUUCCUUUUCGGGUUCCAUUAAUCAUACCAUUUCUUAGGAAAGGUUGGUAUCAGUUAAGAGUGGGGUUAGAGUGAUGUUAGAUAAAUAAAAGAAUAACAAAAGAAUAAAUUUCAGUAAAUAAAUAAAUCAAAAAUAAAUUGUUAGAUAUUUAUGUACACAUCACUCUUGAAUUAAACUAAUCCUUUUACAUAGUUGCAACCCAUGGAUUGGAUUGAACUUAUGCAAUUGGAUUUCUAUUUCAAUAGACAAAAUUUACAAGUAACUCUUUACUAUAUUUAUUCUUAAUUCUCUUUCAAGAUUAAAUUUUAGUAUAGUAUAGGGUUAUGUCGAAGCUCAGAGAAUUGUCUAACAGAAAUGGAAUCAUACUUUGUAUCUUUUAUCAAAAGUAAAAAGUAUCAAAUAAGUUGUUGUUGUGAUUUUAUAAAAUGAUGAAGAUGAAAAAUUAAAAUAACAGGAAAUUAUGGUCAGAAUGAAAAGUUUCUUCACUCUUAAGUAUUAACAUGAUUUUCAUGUACACAAGUUAUUUUGGGAUGAUUCCAUCCACCAUACAUCAUUCCUUAACUCACCCUUCCUCUCGGCUCAGGUGGGAUGAUUUUCAAACCUUGCUUAAUGCAUUAUCACCCAUCAAGUAUCCUUUGAAAGAAGUAAGGUUGUCACCACUUAAUCUGGAUUCCCAGAUGUUGAUAAUCUUGAAAACAAGUUACUUAAAAUGGAUGUUUGGAAAUGGCAAAUAUUCAAGUCUACUACUGUAGAAUUAAAAUAUUUGUUAUUUCAUCCAACAAAAGAAUUUUGGAUCUUUGAAAGCAUAUUUUAGGUGAUCAUUUUAAAAUAAGAAUUAAGUGUCGAUGGAAUGAAAUAAUAGAAUUGAAACACAUUACUUGAAUAACAAAAUGAAAAUUACUAUAAAGAGAAAGAAAUGUUACACCGUAGCCAAAUUUUGGAGCAUUAGCCAUCCAUCCAAAGAUUUGAUGCUUUCGCUUCUAAAUGAUGUUACAGAAUCAUGUUUUUGCACAUUGUUAGCCAACUCCAUUCCCUCUGAAUUUCUAUGAAAUAAAACUAAAAGUAAGCCAAAGAAAGAAAAGAAGUUGAAAUGGAAAGAAAAUAGUAUGUAGAAGUGAUGAGGCAAAU